UUACGACCAAGUAAAUAAGGAUUCAUACCUUCUCAAUCACGGGUCUCGUCAUCAUCGCCGUCAUGAUUUGCGUCGUCUGUCUCUCUCUUAGGGAUUCGUCGCGCCACUCGAUUCGUCUCUUGUGGUUCGAUGAUAGGUCGUCAGAUCAUAGACUCAUGUUCGACAAUGGAGGAUUCGAGCUGCUUCCUGAGCUAUUUGCCCCACUAUAACACACAUGCACACUACAAACAGAAAUGGUGGUUAUCGAUUCUUGGUCGAUUCAAGGUUGAUGUAAGAGUAGCACAAGAGAGAGUCAUGUAACUGAGACUGCAGGUACAAACACUAAGACUUGUUGUUUGAAACAGGUUUGGUUUGGAGUUGAAAUAAAAGUUAUGGUCUUACUCUCACAUUGGUCUUAAAA
Molecule: long non-coding RNA, 400 nt
Organism: Raphanus sativus (radish)
Lineage: Eukaryota; Viridiplantae; Streptophyta; Magnoliopsida; Brassicales; Brassicaceae
Exons: 3
Source: RefSeq, a predicted model, not a curated record